AGUUAAAAAAAUCAUCUAUUUAUAUUGUUAAAAAGUGGUGUGGCUAACAAAAUAAUCUGACAGUGGACACGUGACAUGUCACAUGUAUCUUAUGCUAAUAUAUAGAGACCAACUUUUAACAAAAAAAAUAGCUGAAAUUUUUAACA
Molecule: non-coding RNA, 146 nt
Organism: Gossypium arboreum
Lineage: Eukaryota; Viridiplantae; Streptophyta; Magnoliopsida; Malvales; Malvaceae
Source: Rfam